This 443-nucleotide ribosomal RNA is filed under the name uncultured bacterium. Its description in RNAcentral is "partial 16S ribosomal RNA". It matches the Rfam family "Bacterial small subunit ribosomal RNA", at positions 338 to 795 of the family's 1533-position model. The record is from RNAcentral.
CCUACGGGAGGCAGCAGUGGGGGAUAUUGGACAAUGGGGGGAACCCUGAUCCAGCGACGCCGCGUGAGUGAAGAAGUAUUUCGGUAUGUAAAGCUCUGUCAGCAGGGAAGAAAGAAAUGACGGUACCUGACCAAGCAGCCCCGGCUAACUACUUGCCAGCAGCCGCGGGAAUACGUAGGGGGCAAGCGUUAUCCGGAAUUAAUGGGGGGAAAGGGAGCGUAGACGGUUAAGUAAGUCUGGAGUGAAAGGCCGGGGCCCAACCCCGGGACUGCUCUGGAUACUAUUGAACUUGAGUGCAGGAGAGGUGAGCAGAAUUCCUAGUGUAGCGGUGAAAUGCGUAGAUAUGAGGAGGAACACCAGUGGCGAAGGCGGCUUACUGGACUGUAACUGACGUUGAGGCUCGAAAGCGUGGGGAGCAAACAGGAUUAGAUACCCCUGUAGUC